UACGUAGGGGGCAAGCGUUAUCCGGAUUUACUGGGUGUAAAGGGAGCGUAGACGGCGCGGCAAGUCUGAAGUGAAAGGCAGGGGCUUAACCCCUGAACUGCUUUGGAAACUGCCAUGCUAGAGUGCUGGAGAGGUAAGUGGAAUUCCUAGUGUAGCGGUGAAAUGCGUAGAUAUUAGGAGGAACACCAGUGGCGAAGGCAGCUUACUGGACAGUAACUGACGUUGAGGCUCGAAAGCGUGGGGAGCAAACAGG
This 253-nucleotide ribosomal RNA is filed under the name uncultured bacterium. RNAcentral describes it as "partial 16S ribosomal RNA". It matches the Rfam family "Bacterial small subunit ribosomal RNA", at positions 524 to 776 of the family's 1533-position model. The record is from RNAcentral.